Molecule: ribosomal RNA, 439 nt
Filed under: uncultured bacterium
Lineage: Bacteria
Description: partial 16S ribosomal RNA
Rfam family: Bacterial small subunit ribosomal RNA
Source: RNAcentral
CUACGGGGCGCUGCAGUGAGGAAUAUUGCACAAUGGGGGGAACCCUGAUGCAGCAACGCCGCGUGGAGGAUGACGCAUUUCGGUGUGUAAACUCCUUUUAUAUGUCAAGAAAAUGACGGUAGCAUAUGAAUAAGCACCGGCUAGCUCCGUGCCAGCAGCCGCGGUAAUACGGAGGGUGCAAGCGUUACUCGGAAUCACUGGGCGUAAAGGACGCGUAGGCGGGCUUGUAAGUCAGGUGUGAAAUCCUACAGCUUAACUGUAGAACUGCACUUGAAACUACGAGCCUAGAGUAUGGGAGGGGGAGAUGGAAUUAGUGGUGUAGGGGUAAAAUCCGUAGAUAUCACUAGGAAUACCUAAAGCGAAGGCGAUCUCCUGGAACAUAACUGACGCUAAGGCGUGAAAGCGUGGGGAGCAAACAGGAUUAGAUACCCUCGUAGUC